This 467-nucleotide ribosomal RNA is filed under the name uncultured bacterium. Its description in RNAcentral is "partial 16S ribosomal RNA". It matches the Rfam family "Bacterial small subunit ribosomal RNA", at positions 29 to 507 of the family's 1533-position model. The record is from RNAcentral.
ACGAACGCUGGCGGCGUGCUUAACACAUGCCAGUCGAACGGAAAGGCCCUGCUUUUGUGGGGUGCUCGAUUGGCGAACGGGUGAUUAACACGUCAGUAACCUGCCCUUUACUUUGGGAUAACUUCUUGAAACUGGGGCUAAUACCGGCUAGGAGCUCCUGCUGCAUGGUGGGGGUUGGAAAGUUUCGGCGGUUGGGGUUGGUAUGGCGGCUUAUCAGCUUGUUGGUGGGGUUGUGGCUUACCAAGGCUUUGACGGGUAGCCGGCCUGAGAAGGUGACCGGCGACAUUGGGACUGAGGUACGGCCCAGACUGCUACGGGAGGCAGCAGGGGGGAAUAUUGCACAAUGGGCGGAAGCCGGAUGCAGAAACGCUGCGUGCGGGAUGACGGCCUUCGGGUUGAAAACCGAAUUCGCCUGUGACGAAGCGUGAGUGACGGUAAUGGGUAAAGAAGCACCGGCUAACUACGUG